UUUAGAUAUUCUAAUUUAAGCCAUGCUUUUGAGAUUUAGACGAUUCUAUCAAGGAUGCAUCGCUAAGUAUGUUGCAAUUAAUUUACAAAAAUGUAUUUACAACUAAACAAUGAAAUGUUUAAGAACUAAGGGUGUUAACUGUUGAUUAAUUUGCAUUUAAUUAAUACAGCACAAAUCCACUGAAAUGGUAAAGCGUGAUAGCUUAAUAUGUUUGCCUAGUUAUCGAAGAGAAUAUUACGGCAUGCCAAUCAUCUUUAAUCCAAGGCUUGAUUUUGGCCAAAUUUGCAAAAAUCGUGUACUUAGGUGUCAACCACAGUCAGUGUGCAUUUUUAUGCAAAACAAGACAUCUUAUAAAGAGUAAUGAUGUGGUCCGGUCUCAAAAAAGGAUAAAAGGAAUAAAAACUUGUUCCAUAAUACAAUGUUUCGAUCGGGCAACAGGUUUUUUCGAUGUGGGCAGAGAUCUUUUUUUUGCUGGAUGAUACACCUCAUUUUCCAAGAAUCGCAGAUGAGGUGGGGCUGGCAGUUCUGCAAUGGGACUUGAUUCAUGCAAACGUACUUCAUAAUCCCGACAUAAUUUGGAAUGGUAUUACCACCGGGUUACUGCGCAGUUCUACUUGACCAAGCAACGGAAUUGCUGAAAAUCAGGUCUGGUCAUUAUCAAAAGUCUGAAAGUCCGACAUCUGAUUUACUUCAAGCAGGGGCGACAAAGUCAAGUAGCGGAACAAUAGUCUCGUUUGAGGAGUAAUUAUCACAACAGGAGAAUAAAUAAUUACGUUUAUUAUUCGACUCCAGGGAUAUGGUUUCGGUGAAGAUAUUAAGAAUGCGUCAAAGAUAAGUAAAAGGACCGAUUCGGACGGAUCUCCUGCCCUCAACAUUUCGAAACUUUAAUGCAGAAAUCAAAAUUAGUGAUUUCGUCACCAUGCAAUACAACUGUUCUGUAUAAUCCCAUGGAUGUACAGUGUCAACUUGAGAGAGAUCUGGGACAUGAAACCUCAACGUCUCAUCCGAUCCUUUUCAUCGUCCCAUUUACGCUUCAGAGAUCGAUCGUCAAUCAAGUCAAUAAAUUGAGGAGUGACUAAUUAAAUGUAGAAAAUUCACGCAGUAUAUUAAUAAGUUUGAACUCAUGAACAAAUAAAUUAUUCACCAAGACUCGUAAAUAAUGAUGGUUCUUAUGUUACAGAACUGGCCGUGUAGCAUAGCAGUACAGUCACCUCCGGUGAACUGACACCUGUAAUCCUCCGUCAUUGUCAGCCUUUUUUUGGAUGACACCGUGACCUUUGAUUAAACCAUUUGUUUGGGUGGCCCAACCCAAGCAAGCCCAGGAUUGACUGACGUGGGGACCUGACACCGAAAACGAGGACCUUUUCAUCAAAAGUAAACCGUGGUCAUCAAGUAUGCAAGCGGGCAUCCGCGUUGACAAUACAGCAUCCCACCAAGUUGUGCAUCCGUAUUUUUAUACACAUACGUAAAUAACAUGGGUACAUAUGCGAAACAUUUGCCAUUGAUUCUGAUUCUAAAAAAUAUCUUGUGUUUUUAAGCAGGCCUUCUAGAAUUCCUUCAAUUCACAAUAUUCUACCGGAUCAGACUGUCAAAUCAUGAAAUGUAAAUAUGUGGCCUACCAAACACUUGGUUAAAUUUGAAUUUGAUCCGUAAAUAAAACUUAGCAACACUUGGCCAGCUCAAUAAAAAACAAGGCUUCAAUGGCCUCCCGGAAAUUGAUGACUUUUUAUUCACCAUAAUGAAUUACACUUUCCGGGUGAUAGUAAAUACAUAACACGAGUCUAUUUGUACUGUACAUACGCCAUGCAUACGUUACCAAUUCUUUCAAUAAAAUUACAAUACAAGUCUCCUGUUACA
Folsomia candida is the source of this 1857-nucleotide long non-coding RNA. RefSeq lists it as uncharacterized. The record is from RefSeq and is a predicted model, not a curated record. The transcript is spliced from 5 exons. NCBI's taxonomy places the organism in Eukaryota, Metazoa, Arthropoda, Collembola, Entomobryomorpha, Isotomidae.